AGGACGAACGCUGGCGGCGUGCUUAACACAUGCAAGUCAAGGGGGCCCAGCAAUGGGCAACCGGCGAACGGGUGCGUAACACAUGAGCAACCUACCGAACUGUGGGGGAUAGCCGGCCUAACGGCCGAGUAAUACCGCAUACGCUCUCAGGGAGGCAUUUCUUUGAGAGGAAACCUACGGGACAGAUCGAGGGGCUCGCGGCCUAUCAGCUAGUGCGAGGUAACGCUCACCAAGGCAACGACGGGUAGCUGGUCUGAGAGGAUGGCCAGCCACAUUGGGACUGAGAUACGGCCCAGACUCCGUACGGGAGGCAGCAGUCGGGGAAUCGUUGCGCAAGUGGCCUAACGGCUAGACGCAGCGACGCCGCGUAGGUGGAUGAAGCUACGUUCGGAGUACGUAAACCACGUU
RNAcentral lists this ribosomal RNA (408 nucleotides) under uncultured soil bacterium. RNAcentral's name for it is "bacterial SSU rRNA". It matches the Rfam family "Bacterial small subunit ribosomal RNA", at positions 26 to 436 of the family's 1533-position model. The record is from RNAcentral.